Molecule: long non-coding RNA, 635 nt
Filed under: Homo sapiens (human)
Lineage: Eukaryota; Metazoa; Chordata; Mammalia; Primates; Hominidae
Description: HSALNT0121109
Source: RNAcentral
UCAAAAGAUAUCUGUAGUUCACUCCACCCACCUCUUUCCCAAUAUAAUUACAAGUAGAAAGAGAAAUUGUAAAAUGCUUUUAGUGGAAAAUUUCAUUCCAGAAGCCUUGAUUUCUCAAUAAGUGGUGCUUGACACUCCCAGAAUUGUCCACUGGCAACUGCUACUUCUCUAAAAGACAGAUUGGUCUAUCGCAAGCUGAAGCCUAGACACUGGGAUUUGUGCACGUUCACAGAGCAGCCCAGCUCAUUGCCCAGACUCACUGUCAGUGUUGACAGGGUCAUUCACCCCAAGUGAGCAUUCACCAACUUUCCUGCACCCCACUCUCUAAGGCAAACACUGUCUUUGCCUUCCCUAUCCAUUGGCUUUGUUAGAGCCAUAAGAGGCAGAACUGAGAAGGGACCCUGGUGAUUUGUAUCAAACACGGACAAGAUUUACCUGCCAGAGAGAAGAAGAGACACACUUGGAAGGAAAGGGAGGAUGGACAGCAAGAUGAAGACCACGAGGGCCGGAUUCUGGUGGGGAGUUUUCAGUAGGCAGGUGGGAGAGAGGCAUGAAGAGAGAAGCUUCAGUGCAGACUUUGGAUGUGAGAGAGAACAAAUGUAGAGCAAUGGGAAAAGGGAAUUUUGGGUGUGGCA